RNAcentral lists this ribosomal RNA (465 nucleotides) under Vreelandella stevensii. RNAcentral's name for it is "partial 16S ribosomal RNA". It matches the Rfam family "Bacterial small subunit ribosomal RNA", at positions 338 to 795 of the family's 1533-position model. The record is from RNAcentral. Lineage: Bacteria; Pseudomonadati; Pseudomonadota; Gammaproteobacteria; Oceanospirillales; Halomonadaceae.
CCUACGGGAGGCAGCAGUGGGGAAUAUUGGACAAUGGGCGAAAGCCUGAUCCAGCCAUGCCGCGUGUGUGAAGAAGGCCUUCGGGUUGUAAAGCACUUUCAGUGGGGAAGAAAGCCUUGGGGCUAAUACCCUCGAGGAAGGACAACACCCACAGAAGAAGCACCGGCUAACUCCGUGCCAGCAGCCGCGGUAAUACGGAGGGUGCGAGCGUUAAUCGGAAUUACUGGGCGUAAAGCGCGCGUAGGCGGUCUGAUAAGCCGGUUGUGAAAGCCCCGGGCUCAACCUGGGAACGGCAUCCGGAACUGUCAGGCUAGAGUGCAGGAGAGGAAGGUAGAAUUCCCGGUGUAGCGGUGAAAUGCGUAGAGAUCGGGAGGAAUACCAGUGGCGAAGGCGGCCUUCUGGACUGACACUGACGCUGAGGUGCGAAAGCGUGGGUAGCAAACAGGAUUAGAUACCCCAGUAGUC